UUUAACUGGUAUUUUAUUUUAUAUUUAUUUAUCUUUGCAGUGCUAGGGGAUUGAACCCAGGGUUUCACACAUAGUAAACAAGCACUGUACUUCUGAGUUCCACCCUAGCCCCUAAAUGUUGUUUUUAAUUUAAUUUUCAAUAGCCUUGUAUUUUGUUUGCACUUAAUGUACAAGUUGUUUUCAUUUUAUCUUUAUGUAAGAGCCAUAAGCAGAUUUAUGUUUAUAUUUAGAUACCAUAAAAAAUAUUAAUGUAGAAAUUCCUUGAGCACUUUUUAAAAAAAAUAUUUAUUUUCCAGUUGUAGGUGGACACAAUAUCUUUAUUUCAUUUUUAUGUGGUGCUGAGGAUCAAACCCAGUGCCUCACAUGUGCUAGGCAAGCACUCUACCCCUGAGCCACAACCCCAGCCCCCAUGAGCACUUUUUUUCCCCCUCUAAAGAUUUACACAUUAGUUAAUGUUGAAAAAUACAAGAUUCAUUUGUUUAUCAAGGCAGGCAGAUUGAAACCUAAGACUUAGAGUAGAUCUGUGCUUGGAGUCUGGUAGAAUGAACUUAGCCUUGCAGUUUUCACUCUGCUCAGAGGGUAGGGGGGCAGAUGCACACACCUCCCCUGUCUGGACAGAAGGCUAACAGCAGCUGUAUUUCCAUCCCAUUUCCCCAGGCAGCCUACUGAAUACAUGUUCAGUAAAUAAAGAGAAGAAAGACAGAAAUUUUUAAAAACCAAAUUUUAAAAAUCUUUA
Molecule: long non-coding RNA, 736 nt
Filed under: Marmota monax (woodchuck)
Lineage: Eukaryota; Metazoa; Chordata; Mammalia; Rodentia; Sciuridae
Source: RNAcentral